UAUUGCGAUACGGGACGCUGCUUUGUUACGUUGUCGAUAGCUUUUUUGAUCUCCGUUGCACGAGGCAAGAGGACAUAUCAGUGCCUGCCCGAUGCACACUUGGCGAUAAUGGCGGCUGCAAUACUGGCGCCCACAGCAGUCGUCACAAUAGCAGACGACAGCGGAUGACACCGUAACAGACGACAGCGAGUGUCAGCCUUCGGAUAACGUUGGGCCUCUACCGAAAGGAUACGCAGACACGGCGGGAUGAAGCCGACAACUCUUACAGAUGCACCUGAGAAAAGGCGACUUGAAGAGAGGGAGCGUAACAGGGCAUCUGGGAGGCCGAAAUGAACUUGGAAGCGUAAAAGUGGUUAAGCGGCACGAGCAACCACUAACUGAAGAAAAUUUCGUUGUCAAGGAAAGUUUGGCAAGCUGCACACGGCACAAGACAGUGAGGUGUAAGUAAAAUUUUCCGUUCUUGCAAUUUUCAAAUUUUGCGCGACGCACACUAAAGCUCUAAAGAAUACACGUGUUCGUAAUGCUUAUUCAGCGUUUGGAAAUCUUUCCACACACUUUCAGCGGAAUACGUUCCACAAAUAAGUCCACAGCUCAGGUAAGGUCACUGUGGGUGUCGUAGGGGUCAGUUGUCCCAUAUCUGGUGGGGUAAGUUGUCACGUGCUUCAACUGGUAGAGGGGCUGACACACAAACUAUACCCGCGAGAAAAGUGUUUCAGUACCUUUAUUAGUACAUCUUAGAGAUCGUGCAAUUAUUUAGUGCCGCUUUUUACAUUAACAAUGCCUGUCUACAGCCAGUAAUGGCUAGCUGCAGUGCACCCACGAAUCCUGUACAGCUAGGACAGACGUCUACAUUGUGCAAAUGUAGGACUUAAGAUAAUAGGUUCUUUUCUGUUCGUUUAGUUUCCUUUCCAUGUGCACUUCCAAUGGGUAUUCCAUUCGGUACACCUCCACAAGAAGGAUUACAAUAAAAUGCAGCUGAGGCAACCUGCCCCAGCCCGUGUGACAACAUGCCCCGCUACUGGGGCGUAUUGUCAUACUUGACGACCUCCGCGCAAAUGUUUGUUUUUUACAUACUGUUUUGAAGCCAGCUUUAGUUUAAUAUGUGCGUUGUGUAGCCAAAAGAUCGCACUAAAUUUCAGCCUGGGUUUCAUCAACCUGUCGGACGUAGUUUCGUCACAGCAAAAUAAGAAGUAAAAGCUGUGACAACUCUCCCCGGUCUCCCCUACACAUCGCAGAACAAACAAUCAACGAAGUAAAGCCUAUGACUUUACAUGAGUAAACAGGAAUAGGACUUCACCAGGAAUAAACGGCACCCAAAUACUGCUGUGAAUUACUCCAUGGAAUAUUGCUGUCUGGUGUGCCACGAGGAGUAUACGAACUGAACCAGGAGUGGGUGUAGUGCAUGGUUUGCAAAGGCUGGUCACAUUGGUUUUGCAGUAACAAAUAUCCAUUUUAUGUUUGCCAGGACUGCACGGCAACUCUGUGGCUCCUGCCUGCAAUAUGCAGUUGUUUCAAAAUACUCCGCAACCAGUUGCAACGUUGGGGCAUAUUGAGACACUCUGCAUCCUGU
Molecule: long non-coding RNA, 1570 nt
Organism: Ornithodoros turicata
Lineage: Eukaryota; Metazoa; Arthropoda; Arachnida; Ixodida; Argasidae
Exons: 4
Source: RefSeq, a predicted model, not a curated record